AACGAACGCUGGCGGCGUGCUUAACACAUGCAAGUCGAACGCCCCAUCUGCAAGCAAGCUUGAAGAUAUCAAAUUAUGAUAUCAAACAAGCAGGCUUGUUUGAUGAUGGGGAGUGGCAAACGGGUGAGUAACACGUGGGAACCUACCUUAUAGUUCGGGACAACAGUUGGAAACGACUGCUAAUACCGGAUACGCUCUACGGAGGAAAGAUUUAUCACUAUAAGAUGGGCCCGCGGCAGAUUAGCUAGUUGGUGGGGUAAUGGCCUACCAAGGCAACGAUCUGUAGCUGGUCUGAGAGGACGAUCAGCCACACUGGAACUGAGACACGGUCCAGACUCCUACGGGAGGCAGCAGUGGGGAAUAUUGGACAAUGGGCGCAAGCCUGAUCCAGCAACGCCGCGUGAGUGAAGAAGGCCUUUAGGGUUGUAAAGCUCUUUUGUCAGGGAAGAUAAUGACGGUACCUGAAGAAUAAGCUCCGGCUAACUCUGUGCCAGCAGCCGCGGUAAUACAGAGGGAGCUAGCGUUGUUCGGAAUCACUGGGCGUAAAGCGCACGUAGGCGGCCAACUAAGUCGGGUGUGAAAUCCUGGAGCUUAACUCCAGAACUGCAUUCGAGACUGGAUGGCUUGAGAUUGGUAGAGGAUAGUGGAAUUCCGAGUGUAGAGGUGAAAUUCGUAGAUAUUCGGAGGAACACCAGUGGCGAAGGCGGCUAUCUGGGCCAAUACUGACGCUAAGGUGCGAAAGCGUGGGGAGCAAACAGGAUUAGAUACCCUGGUAGUCCACGCCCUAAACGAUGGAUGCUAGUUGUUGRGGGUUUUACCCUCAGUGACACAGCUAACGSGUUAAGCAUCCCGSCUGGGGAGUACGGUCGCAAGAUUAAAACUCAAAGGAAUUGACGGGGACCCGCACAAGCGGUGGAGCAUGUGGUUUAAUUCGAUGCUACGCGAAAAACCUUACCAUCCUUUGCAUCCCGGUAGAGAAAAGCAGAAAUGCUUUUCGCAUUUAGUUGGACCGGUGACAGGUGUUGCAUGGCUGUCGUCAGCUCGUGUCGUGAGAUGUUGGGUUAAGUCCCGCAACGAGCGCAACCCUCAUCCUUAGUUACCAUCAGGUUAAGCUGGGCACUCUAAGGAAACUGCUCGUGAUAAGCGAGAGGAAGGUGGGGAUGACGUCAAGUCAUCACGGCCCUUACAGGAUGGGCCACACACGUGCUACAAUGGCGGGGACAAUGGGAAGCUAGUCCGCAAGGACAUGCUGAUCUCAAAAAGCCGCCUCAGUUCAGAUUGAGGUCA
RNAcentral lists this ribosomal RNA (1287 nucleotides) under uncultured Alphaproteobacteria bacterium. RNAcentral describes it as "bacterial SSU rRNA". It matches the Rfam family "Bacterial small subunit ribosomal RNA", at positions 28 to 1306 of the family's 1533-position model. The record is from RNAcentral. Lineage: Bacteria; Pseudomonadati; Pseudomonadota; Alphaproteobacteria.